This 252-nucleotide ribosomal RNA is filed under the name uncultured bacterium. RNAcentral's name for it is "partial 16S ribosomal RNA". It matches the Rfam family "Bacterial small subunit ribosomal RNA", at positions 525 to 776 of the family's 1533-position model. The record is from RNAcentral.
ACGGAGGGGGCUAGCGUUGUUCGGAAUUACUGGGCGUAAAGCGUGCGUAGGCGGAUUAUUAAGUUAGGGGUGAAAUCCCGGGGCUCAACCUCGGAACUGCCUCUAAAACUGGUAAUCUAGAGAUAUGGAGAGGUAAGUGGAAUUCCUAGUGUAGAGGUGAAAUUCGUAGAUAUUAGGAGGAACACCAGAGGCGAAGGCGGCUUACUGGACAUAUACUGACGCUGAGGCACGAAAGUGUGGGUAGCAAACAGG